GGAGGCUGCUGCAUCUCCAGAGUGCAGCAAUAAUAGAGAUGGCUCAGGGCUCAUCUCCCAUUCCAGAAAGUACCGCUCGGGCUGACAUCACCCCUCCUGGCGAUGUUGCCUUGGACGAAAGAGUGGAAGGACCCUCUGCCUCUUCCCCUUUCUCUCACC
Molecule: non-coding RNA, 159 nt
Organism: Prunus avium (sweet cherry)
Lineage: Eukaryota; Viridiplantae; Streptophyta; Magnoliopsida; Rosales; Rosaceae
Source: RefSeq, a predicted model, not a curated record